Molecule: long non-coding RNA, 971 nt
Organism: Centropristis striata (black sea bass)
Lineage: Eukaryota; Metazoa; Chordata; Actinopteri; Perciformes; Serranidae
Exons: 3
Source: RefSeq, a predicted model, not a curated record
AUGCACUGAAACACGUCCACCAAGCAAGAUAGCUGAGGCUAAGGAGCUAGGCUAAGAAGCUAGGCUAUAUGCUACUCUGAUGCUACGGAUGCUACAUAACGGUGCAUACCCUUGCCGCCGGUUGCCGCCUUCUCAGUUAUCUUAACAAAGUAAAUCAGUAAUGGCAGCGAGUGAGAUCUCCACCAAAGCUGCUCCACUCCGGAUAAACCCCACCGUAUGGAUUGUUGGGGACAGCUUUGUCCGGCGCCCAGAGAGCAGCAGAGACAUGUGGAAGCAACCUCGGCCUACCUGACGUCCACGUUUGCUGGUUUGGCUGGGGUGGACUGCGUUGGAAAGGCUUUCUCCCCUUCUUCGACCACUCCCUGCGAGGAAGAGCAGCCCCAGACUACCUGAUGAUCAACUGUGGCGGCAACGACAUGGGGGAAACCAGCCGUGUCCAGCUGGUCAACAUGAUGGAGGAUUUGCACCAGCUCCACCACCGGCACCCUGGGAUGAAGAUUAUUUUUUCUUCUUUGACCCAAAGGUGCCGGUGGAGGGCUGGUGCAAACCCAGGACAGAUGGACAAGGCCAGGAAGUUUGUCAACAGUGUUAUGGCUACAUUUGUCCGUGGAUUAAAUUGUGCCAUGAUUGAGCACCCUAACAUUAGACAACAGUCCUGGGAUAUUUUUGGCAGAUAAAGUUUAUCUCACACCUAGUGGGAAUGAUAUGUUUUUAGGGGCAUUGGCCAACUGCCUGAAAGACCACAUCCAAAUGCAGUGAACUGCUGACAGUUUGCAGUGUCACUGCUUUUGAAUUUGGCCUUUGGGACACAUUUUAGGCAUUAAAAUAGCCCAGACUGUCAUGGCUAAUGUUGACAUUUGUUAAAAAGUUAAAAAAAACACAACAAAUGUAGCCAUAACACUGUUUCCUGUUCUGUUGCUCUUCCUCUAUUCCACCCUUUAUCCCCUUCCCCCAACACACUGUAUGGUCUG